Molecule: ribosomal RNA, 480 nt
Filed under: uncultured Glomeromycotina
Lineage: Eukaryota; Fungi; Glomeromycota
Description: SSU rRNA
Rfam family: Eukaryotic small subunit ribosomal RNA
Source: RNAcentral
AGCGUAUAUUAAAGUUGUUGCAGUUAAAAAGCUCGUAGUUGAAUUUCGGGGUUAGUAGGUAGGUCAUGCCUCUGGUAUGUACUGGUCUCACUGAUUCCUCCUUCCUGAUGAACCUUAAUGCCAUUUAUUUGGUGUUUUGGGGAAUUUGGACUGUUACUUUGAAAAAAUUAGAGUGUUUAAAGCAAGCUAACGCUUGAAUACAUUAGCAUGGAAUAAUGAAAUAGGACGUUCGAUCCUAUUUUGUUGGUUUCUAGGAUUGACGUAAUGAUUAAUAGGGAUAGUUGGGGGCAUUAGUAUUCAAUUGUCAGAGGUGAAAUUCUUGGAUUUAUUGAAGACUAACUACUGCGAAAGCAUUUGCCAAGGAUGUUUUCAUUAAUCAAGAACGAAAGUUAGGGGAUCGAAGACGAUCAGAUACCGUCGUAGUCUUAACCAUAAACUAUGCCGACUAGGGAUCGGAUGAUGUUAAUUUUUUAAUGACUC